Molecule: long non-coding RNA, 2147 nt
Filed under: Homo sapiens (human)
Lineage: Eukaryota; Metazoa; Chordata; Mammalia; Primates; Hominidae
Description: non-protein coding lnc-OLFM4-4:2
Source: RNAcentral
AGUAAUAUUGUACAUAGGUGACUAAAACAAAUCAUUUUCUAUUCAAUAAAAGUAAGCAAAUGUAAAAUACAAAAAUGAAUGACCUAAAGCUGGUCCUCAUUUUAACCUGAGUAUAUAUUACAGGUCUGCACAACUUCAAGUCAAUAUUUUCAAUCCCACAGAUUUAUGUAUGGGAUGAGUGUACAUAAGAGUAGUAGGAAAUGAGCUGUAAUGGGAAGACUAAAAACUGGGAAAUAUUCUCAAAGUUGAAAGAGGAAUAAUGGUAAAAAGUACAGUCAUGCAUUGCUUAAUAAUAGAAUUGUGUUCUUUAGGCAAUUUUGUCCUUGUGUGAACAACAUACAAUGUACUUACACAAACCUAGAUGGUAUAGCUUACUGCACACAUAGGCUGUAUGAUAUAGGCUAUUGCUCCCAGGCUACAAAUCUGUAUAGCAUGUUGCUAUACUGAAUACCAUAGGCAAUUGUAACACUAUGGAAAGUAUUUCUGUAUCUAAACACAUCUAAGUAUAGAAAAUGUAUAGUAAAAAUAUGGUAUAAAAGAUAAAAAAUGGUACACCUGCAUAGGGCACUAACCAUAAGUGGAGCUUGCAGGACAGGAAGUUGCUCUGGAUGAGUCUCCGAGUGAAUGGUGAGUGAAUGUGAAGGCCUAGGAUGCCACUGUACACUCUGUAGACUUUAUAAACACUGUACACUUAGGCUGCACUAAUUUAUAAUUUUUUUCUUUCUUCAAUAAUAAAUUAACCCUAGCUUACAACUAUUUCCUUUAUAAAACUUGAAUUUUUUAACUUUUUGACUCCUUUGUAUAACACUUAAACCCCAGCCACAUCUCCAGCACACAAGAACUUCCAAACGCCUGAACCGCAGCGGCCACGCGUUCCUCCAGAACCUCCUCCCACAGGAGCUUGCUAUACGUGCUGGAAAUCUGGCCACUGGGCCAAGGAAUGCCCGCAGCCCAGGAUUCCUCCUAAGCCGCGUCCCAUCUGUGUGGCACCCCACUGAAAAUUGGACUGUUCAACUCACCUGGCAGCCACUCCCAGAGCCCCUGGAACUCUGGCCCAAGCCUCUCUGACUGACUCCUUCCCAGGUCUUCUCGGCUUAGCGGCUGAAGACUGACACUGCCCAAUCGCCUCGGAAGCCCCCUAGGCCAUCACGGAUGCCGAGCUUCGGGUAACUCUCACAGUGGAAGGUUUUUCUUUAGGAGAGAUUAAUCGGGAGUGAGGUCUGCCUAAACCUGAGAUGAGAAGAAUUUGUCUCCUGAGAAUAAUGAUGGAUAUCCCUCAAGAAUUGAAGAUGGGCCAGAAAGAAGAAAGCAUUGUGGCUUGGUUGAUGUACAGAAAGAGCUCUUACUGAAUCCAGUAGCAUUCCCAGUGCUGUUGAAGGUGUAAAUCACUCUAAAGGCUUUGGUGUAUGCAGUCCUGGAUUCAAAUCCUAUCUCUGAAAGCUUGAAGAAGAGAGUUGACAUUUCUGGAGCACACAAAUCAACUCAUUAAAUAAUGGUACAAAUGAAUAUCUUUUCUGACUUCGAUAGCACACAUACUAGAAUUAGAAAAUACCAAGGAGAUCAUUGUGGCCCCUGGGCAUGGGUGAUCUAUAUCAUCGUUCCCCAACCCCUGGGCCAUGGACCUGUACUGGCUUAUGGCCUGUUGGGAACCGGGUCACACAGCUGGAGGUGGUACACAGAAUGAUUACAUUUGUUCCUUGCUGUUAGGAGGAACAAGCAGAAGUUCCAUAUGCCACCUUCUUCUGCUACUGCAGCAACAAGUGAUAUUCGAGACAGUGAAGCCCCCAUCAAUUCUAGACUGAUAUGGAGCAGAGACGACCUCCUAUACACACUCCCACUACUGACCCAUGGUGGACAAGAAACCAGAAAUUUCAUUAUGUUAAGCUUCUGAGAUAUUUCUGUUUUUUCCACUGAACAUUAUUCUAAUUUAUGUGAUAUAUUUGAUUUUAGAGCUAACUUGUUCUAAAGCUUACAGUCUUUUGCUGGGCAGGGUAGCAGUUCCAGCCACUUAGUAGGCUGAAACAGGAGGAUGGCUUAAGCUCAGGAGUUUGAGACCAGCCUGGGCUAAAUAAUGAGACCCCAUCUCUUAAAAAUAUAUACAAAAUAUAUAAACAAAAAUAAAGCUUACAAUUUUUUUCAACAACAAC